This 329-nucleotide ribosomal RNA is filed under the name uncultured eukaryote. Its description in RNAcentral is "partial 18S ribosomal RNA". It matches the Rfam family "Eukaryotic small subunit ribosomal RNA", at positions 1470 to 1796 of the family's 1831-position model. The record is from RNAcentral.
CCCUUAGAUGUUCUGGGCCGAACGCGCGCUACACUGAUGCAUUCAACGAGUCUAAAACCUGCUCUGAUAGGGGUGGGUAAUCUUUUGAAUGUGCAUCGUGAUUGGGAUAGAUGAUUGCAAUUUUUCAUCUUCAACGAGGAAUGCCUAGUAAACGCAAGUCAUCAGCUUGCAUUGAUUACGUCCCUGCCCUUUGUACACACCGCCCGUCGCUCCUACCGAUUGAAUGAUCCGAUGAAUAUCAUGGAUUGAGGAUGCAAGUAGGUUCGCCUAUCUUCAUCUUCGAGAAGUGAAGUAAAUCUUAUCAUUUAGAGGAAGGAGAAGUCGUAACA